AGUGGCGAACGGGUGAGUAAUAUAUCGGAACGUACCCUAGAGUGGGGGAUAACGUAGCGAAAGUUACGCUAAUACCGCAUACGAUCUAAGGAUGAAAGUGGGGGAUCGCAAGACCUCAUGCUCGUGGAGCGGCCGAUAUCUGGUUAGCUAGUUGGUAGGGUAAAAGCCUACCAAGGCAUCGAUCAGUAGCUGGUCUGAGAGGACGACCAGCCACACUGGAACUGAGACACGGUCCAGACUCCUACGGGAGGCAGCAGUGGGGAAUUUUGGACAAUGGGCGAAAGCCUGAUCCAGCAAUGCCGCGUGAGUGAAGAAGGCCUUCGGGUUGUAAAGCUCUUUUGUCAGGGAAGAAACGGUGAGAGCUAAUAUCUCUUGCUAAUGACGGUACCUGAAGAAUAAGCACCGGCUAACUACGUGCCAGCAGCCGCGGUAAUACGUAGGGUGCAAGCGUUAAUCGGAAUUACUGGGCGUAAAGCGUGCGCAGGCGGUUUUGUAAGUCUGAUGUGAAAUCCCCGGGCUCAACCUGGGAAUUGCAUUGGAGACUGCAAGGCUAGAAUCUGGCAGAGGGGGGUAGAAUUCCACGUGUAGCAGUGAAAUGCGUAGAUAUGUGGAGGAACACCGAUGGCGAAGGCAGCCCCCUGGGUCAAGAUUGACGCUCAUGCACGAAAGCGUGGGGAGCAAACAGGAUUAGAUACCCUGGUAGUCCACGCCCUAAACGAUGUCUACUAGUUGU
This 733-nucleotide ribosomal RNA is filed under the name uncultured bacterium. RNAcentral describes it as "bacterial SSU rRNA". It matches the Rfam family "Bacterial small subunit ribosomal RNA", at positions 94 to 823 of the family's 1533-position model. The record is from RNAcentral.